AUAAAAAUUUUAAUUAACAUCCCUUACACAAUAACCAAAACGUACUCAAAACAUGAAGGAACAAACUAACUAAAAGAGAUACUCGAAAUAAGAACUAUAAAUAUAACUAUGAAGUCUUUAGGCGUCUCCUUCGCCGUCUUCAUGCGAAACGGGCUUGGGAACAACGUCUCCCUGAUCUGAAAUGGUUAAAUAAGGAAUGAGCUACACCAGCCCAGUGAAAACAUCACACUAUCUCACUGCCACGGAAGUAAAGGUGGGUAGAAAACAAAAAUGACCAAUGGAGCAUAAUUUAUAACAAACUCGUUUAUUAACAUAAAAACCUUUACUGUCAACUUACCUCGGUGAGAUCCAUGAAAACAACAUAUGAAAGCAAUAACAUUAUCAUCAUCAUAAAAUCAUAUAGACUUUAUAACAUAAUACUUACCACGUCUUUGCAUUUCAAUCAUUAAACAACAUAUUUUCCUCUUUUACCAGCCUAUUAGUAUCCAUGGGGAUCCAUAGGGGGUCCCCGCUACCCGUGAACCAUUAACAUUAAUAAGCUGAUUUCAUGGUCGUUCCCAUACCCCGUCCGGUAUGGGCGCCAAAACCAUAAACUUCCAUACCCCGUCCGGUAUGAGGG
Molecule: long non-coding RNA, 619 nt
Filed under: Carica papaya (papaya)
Lineage: Eukaryota; Viridiplantae; Streptophyta; Magnoliopsida; Brassicales; Caricaceae
Description: long non-coding RNA (CPAP_LNC014225)
Source: RNAcentral